UAAAAUACCCUUGUGCUCAAUAAUUUGAGCAACCACUUUCUCUCCUUCUUCUUCUCUUUGGCGUUGGCUAUCUCCUUCUUCUUCUUCUUCUCUUUGUUUUUCUUCAACUUCAUCCUUAGCCAAAUCCAUCAAAUUCAACCCAUUUAACUUGAUUUAAGGAAUCAAUCCUAGAGUUUAAAGCUUGAGAAGUGAUUUGUGGUGAUUAUUUUCAAGAAACUUGGAAAGCCAAAGGCUUAGGAAACCUCUACCAAGGAGUAAAGGCAAAGUUGGAGCUUAGAAUGCUUUAAUCUAAGCUUGCUAAGGCUUGUUUUAAAGUAAGUGUUCAUAAAUCCUCCUACCUUGUUUAAAUUUUUGAUUUUGUGAAGUUUAUACUAUUUGUGAAAAUUGGGAAUUUUAUAUGAAAUGAUUUGAUUAUUGAAUUUUGG
Molecule: long non-coding RNA, 425 nt
Filed under: Jatropha curcas
Lineage: Eukaryota; Viridiplantae; Streptophyta; Magnoliopsida; Malpighiales; Euphorbiaceae
Description: long non-coding RNA (JCUR_LNC002969)
Source: RNAcentral